This 429-nucleotide ribosomal RNA is filed under the name Gemmatimonadota bacterium. Its description in RNAcentral is "Gemmatimonadetes bacterium partial 16S ribosomal RNA". It matches the Rfam family "Bacterial small subunit ribosomal RNA", at positions 355 to 776 of the family's 1533-position model. Lineage: Bacteria; Pseudomonadati; Gemmatimonadota. The record is from RNAcentral.
UGGGGAAUCUUCGGCAAUGGACGAAAGUCUGACCGAGCAACGCCGCGUGAGUGAAGAAGGUUUUCGGAUCGUAAAACUCUGUUGUUAGAGAAGAACAAGGACGUUAGUAACUGAACGUCCCCUGACGGUAUCUAACCAGAAAGCCACGGCUAACUACGUGCCAGCAGCCGCGGUAAUACGUAGGUGGCAAGCGUUGUCCGGAUUUAUUGGGCGUAAAGCGAGCGCAGGCGGUUUCUUAAGUCUGAUGUGAAAGCCCCCGGCUCAACCGGGGAGGGUCAUUGGAAACUGGGAGACUUGAGUGCAGAAGAGGAGAGUGGAAUUCCAUGUGUAGCGGUGAAAUGCGUAGAUAUAUGGAGGAACACCAGUGGCGAAGGCGGCUCUCUGGUCUGUAACUGACGCUGAGGCUCGAAAGCGCGGGGAGCAAACAGG